CACAAUUGUAAACCCUAUGGAGUGAGAGAGAGAGAAAGGAGAGGAAAAGGAAGUCAUUGUCAAUAGCUGUAAGGAGGAGCAAAACCUACCAUUAAAUACUCCCUCUAUGGCACAGUAGUGAAAGAAAAGAGACAUUGAGCUGCGCACAGGCAUUCAUUCAUAUGGAUCAGUGUGGAGAUAAAGAGGAUCACGAGGGUCUCCCUUUAAUUACUCCAAACAUGCAUGGCUUGUUCCCCUUUUUGUUAAUUUCUAUGUAUCAAGAUGUUGGUACCCUCUCUCAGGAUUUGCUUCAAUGAAAGGGGUUCAUCACUUUUUUCAUCACAAGUAUGUUGGUUUGAGAGGUUGAAGCUGCCAGCAUGAUCUGGUAAAUCACAUACUUUUUUUUUUCUCACCUCUCAUGCCUAAUUUUUAAGCACCAGUCAUUAGAGAAAAUAAUGGUGAAAAAUCCAUCUAUUCAAUUUUUUUUUCAAAUUCAAGGUUUCCAGUAUGUAUCACUAAUGGUGAAAAAAGUGAUGGAAUUUUGUAGAACAUGGGUUAAAUUUACUUUUUUUUUUUUGAGUUUUCAUUUUCUUCAAGUUUCUGAGCCAAGAAAUAAAAGAGACUUAUAAAUUGGAAUUAAUACUUAAAGGAAACCCACCAGAAGGGCAAUUUGGUUAUCAUAAGAUGUGGUUUCCAUCAGGUCAUCUUGCAGCUUCAAUCACUCAAUAACCAACAGAUUAGUUUCUCAACUCAUGAAUUCCGGUACUGUUCAACUACAAUCUCAAUUUCAAUUUCAGUAUACUCCUCGAUCCCUAGCUAGUUCUGGUUCUCCUUGGAGCAGUUCAAUGGUUAGAUGGACCUCCACCUUUUUGUAUUCAUUCUUCUAUGGGUGAGGUAAUAAGUAUUAAUUUGCUUUGUAUAUAAUUUGAGUUUCAACGUUCCUUAAUUUGGAGUGAUAAAUGUUAUCAUAAAAUCAUAGUGAAAAUUGCUUAUAAGCUUCUUAGAGUUCUUUAUAAUUUAUUUUAAUAAAUUCCAUAAAAAUUAUCAAAAUAAGCUCUUUUUUAUAAAUAAAACUUCUCAAUUAAGCUUGUGAAUGAUCUCUUAUAAUAAGUGAUUAUCAACAAAUGUUUAAUUAAACAGUUUAUCCUAAUACACUUAUAUGCUAGCACAUUUGUUUUAAGUUUAGUGAGUCAAAUUUCUGAAUUCAUAUGAUUUGGGGCAGUUCGAGUUUUCCAUGUAAACUGUCACCAUGCGACAUGGCAAAAUCACUUUCAAUCAAGUUAUGUGCCUUCAUGUUGGAACUUUCAUUUUGCAGGCACACAUCCAAAUUUUGAAUAACAAUUUUGGUGACAUUUUGGGUUAUAAUUCACAAAUAUAUAUCCAUACACAAUAUAUACAAACAAUUUAAACAAAUUAAAUCUCAUAAAUCACAAAGAAAUGAAUAAAUUAAAGCUAAUAAAAAUCAAGAUUAAUACAAUAAAUUUCAAACAAAUAAAUUAUAUAAAGUUAACAACCAUAAAAUUAAUAAUAAGCACAAAAGAUGAAACGAAAUUAACCUCAAUUUCUUGCAUUUUAAUUCCUUCAAACCUGUUGUCAUCUCAUGAAAAUCAAUUGUUUGGAUUCGCUAACUGUUUGAUUACAAAAUAAUGUCAAGCAAUUGGUACCGAGAAGGGAGAUUUAUUUCUCAAUAAUGGGUUCUUCUAGAAAGCAUUUGAUAUAGAUAAAUAAAAAAGAAAGAGAGAAGAUAAGAUUUUGCGUAAAACAUAAAGAUAGAAAAGUUAUAUAAAAAAAAAAGCAAUAAAAGAAAGACUAUAAGUAAAAGUUUUAAAUGAAAAUAAUAAAUGACAGAAAUUAUAAAGAAAAAUAAAUGUAAGAUAAAAUAAACUUGUAUUUUUAAUUGAUGGUGUUAUUAAAUUUAAAGUAUAAGGUCUAUUUAAAACAUGGUUUGGGAGUUAUUCCCUUGAUUUUGCGCUCAAUCGGUUGACAAUUGUUGAAAAUCGAUGGACAGUUGUAGAUAAUUGACGGAUAAUUGCUGAGAAUCCACUGACAGUUGCAGAUUGUACCUAAUCCACCUUCUGCUAACCUCUCAUACAUUCUAGGCACAUUUCCCUCUUCAACAAACUAACAUAUUUGCAUUUUAAAUUUUAAACAAACUAGAAACUGAUUCUUAUUUUGAAGGGAGUAAUAUCAUUAUCCAGUUUUAUCUGCCACGAGCCAUGUAAAUAUAAAAAAUCAUAAGAAAUAUUAUUUUAUUUUUAUUAAAUUAAAUAUAAUUUAAUUCAACUGAUUUUAUGAUGUUUCCAGAUUGUUGAUUCACCAAUCUACCGAUUUCUGUCAUUUCGGCAAACGGUGUAAGCAAUCAAUUUGAUCUUAUCAUCACUCAGUUAGCCUUUUUGUUCUAAUACUGAACAAUAGUCCGUCGCACAUUUGACUAGGCUGGCCUUGUCCUCAAUCAGCUAGCACUAAUUUCAGCCAAAUUUCAAUCAAUCGGCAUCAAUUUCAUUUUAAGAAAUUAUUUUUAUUUCUAUUAAAAUACCAAAAUAAUCAAAUCUCUUAUAAAAGAGAAAUUCUUGGGCUCUAAGCCCGUUUUGACAUCGUUUUUUUUAUUAAAGAUAAAUUCAUAUAAGGUUUAGAAUGUCUUUUGUGAAGAUUUCUUCUCUAGAAUCUCUCAGCAAAUUCUUUUUAUUUUUAUUUUCCUCUUUGCCUCUCUUAAAAAUAAGAAAUAUUUUGCAGUAAGUUACCAAUUUACACCCAAAAUUUAGGACAGAAAACUCAGUCUUAUCUUUUACUUUAAUGGAUUACUUUAAGGGGUAUUACUGUAACUUAAGAUUCAUUCUUUGUAUCUCUCACUCUGUGUCAGUGAACAUGAAUGGAGGACAAAAUGAAGAAGUUCGUGAAAUGAAGGAAGGAAAAAAUGUAGAAUAUGAAUUUUUUAGUGUCACGCGACUUUUUAAUUGAAUAAAUCCAGAUUAACGAUCCAGAUUAGGAGUAACAAUUUAAAGUUACUCCUGGACUACUUGGAUCUCCUCCCCCCACACACACAUAUUUAUAUUAAGUAAGACUUGAACCCACAUCCUUGUGGGAUAUAAGUUUUUUUCUUAUUAAUUGAACCAACUCUAUUGGUAUUUGCUUUAUUAUUUUAGAGCUAGUAGUUUGAGUACAUGAAAAUGAAAUUUUGGGUUCCUAUUUCUUCGGAGGUAAUUUUAUUGGGAUAAUUGUGUAUGACCAAGACUCAAUCCAUUAUAUGUAACUAAUUACGAUUCUAAUAAUAAAGUAUUAUUAGAGUUUCAAUAUCA
Glycine soja is the source of this 3275-nucleotide long non-coding RNA. RefSeq lists it as uncharacterized. The transcript has 2 exons. The record is from RefSeq and is a predicted model, not a curated record. Lineage: Eukaryota; Viridiplantae; Streptophyta; Magnoliopsida; Fabales; Fabaceae.